CCUACGGGAGGCAGCAGUGAGGAAUAUUGGUCAAUGGACGAGAGUCUGAACCAGCCAAGUAGCGUGAAGGAUGACUGCCCUAUGGGUUGUAAACUUCUUUUAUAUGGGAAUAAAAUGUUCCACGUGUGGGAUUUUGUAUGUACCAUAUGAAUAAGGAUCGGCUAACUCCGUGCCAGCAGCCGCGGUAAUACGGAGGAUCCGAGCGUUAUCCGGAUUUAUUGGGUUUAAAGGGAGCGUAGGUGGAUUGUUAAGUCAGUUGUGAAAGUUUGCGGCUCAACCGUAAAAUUGCAGUUGAAACUGGCAGUCUUGAGUACAGUAGAGGUGGGCGGAAUUCGUGGUGUAGCGGUGAAAUGCGUAGAUAUCACGAAGAACGCCGAUUGCGAAGGCAGUUCACUGGACUGCAACUGACACUGAGGCUCGAAAGUGUGGGUAUCAAACAGGAUUAGAUACCCGGGUAGUC
RNAcentral lists this ribosomal RNA (460 nucleotides) under uncultured bacterium. RNAcentral's name for it is "partial 16S ribosomal RNA". It matches the Rfam family "Bacterial small subunit ribosomal RNA", at positions 338 to 795 of the family's 1533-position model. The record is from RNAcentral.